GACGAACGCUGGCGGCGUGCUUAACACAUGCAAGUCGAACGAACACUUCGGACUUUGUUGGGGUGCUCUAGUGGCGAACUGGUGAGUAACCCUUAGGUACCCUGUCACUGACUUUGGGAUGACUUCAGGCCACUUGGGCUCUUACCGGGUAGGAUCUCCUGCUGUUUGGUCGGGGUGCGAAAGUUUCGGCGGUUGGGGAUGUACUCGCGGCUUAUCAGCUUGUUGAUGGGGUAGUGGAUUACCAAGGCUAUGAAGGGUAGCCGGCCUGAGAGGGUGACCGGCGAAAUUGGGUUUGAGAUGCGGCACAGACUACUACGGGACGCAACAGAGGGGAAUGUUGCACAAUGGGCGGAGGCAUGAUGUAGCAACGCCGCGUGCGGGAAAACGGCAUUCGGGUAGUAAACCGAUAUCGCCUGUGACGAAGCGUGAGUGACGGUAAUGGGUAAAGAAGCCCCGGCUAACUACGUG
This 468-nucleotide ribosomal RNA is filed under the name uncultured bacterium. RNAcentral's name for it is "partial 16S ribosomal RNA". It matches the Rfam family "Bacterial small subunit ribosomal RNA", at positions 28 to 507 of the family's 1533-position model. The record is from RNAcentral.